GCUUCCAGGAAAAGCCCCUAAGCGCCAGGCCGCUGGGGCCCGUACCGCAAACCGACACAGGUGGUCGAGGAGAGCAUCCUCAGGCGCUCGAGUGAUCCGUGGCCAAGGAACUAGGCAAAUUCGGCCCGUAACUUCGGGAGAAGGGCCCCCCGCCCUCGGGCGGGGCGCAGCGAAGAGGCCCAGGCGACUGUUUAGCAAAAACACAGGGCUCUGCCAACCCGCGAGGGGAAGUAUAGGGCCUGACACCUGCCCGGUGCCGGAAGGUUAAGGGAGGCCGUCAGCGCAAGCGAAGCGGUUGACCGAAGCCCCGGUAAACGGCGGCCGUAACAAUAACGGUCCUAAGGUAGCGAAAUUCCUUGUCGGGUAAGUUCCGACCUGCACGAAUGGUGUAACGAUCUGGGCACUGUCUCGGCCACGGGCUCGGUGAAAUUGAAGCAUCGGUGAAGAUACCGAUUACCCGCCACGGGACGGAAAGACCCCGUGAACCUUUACUACAGCUUUGCACUGGGCUUGGGUACGGGAUGUGUAGGAUAGGUGGGAGGCUGUGAAGUGGGGGCGCCAGCCCCCGUGGAGCCGCCGUUGAAAUACCACCCUUCCCGUACUUAGGUCCUAACCCCUGCGAGGGGGGACACUGCAUGGCGGGUAGUUUGACUGGGGUGGUCGCCUCCCAAAACGUAACGGAGGCUCGCAAAGGUGCCCUCAGCACCGUUGGUAACGGUGCGCAGAGCGCAUGGGUAGAAGGGCGCUUGACUGGGAGGCCGACAGGCCGAUCAGGUGCGAAAGCAGGCCCAAGUGAUCCGGUGGUCCCGCAUGGAAGGGCCAUCGCUCAAAGGAUAAAAGGUACUCCGGAUAACAGGCUGAUCUCCCCCAAGAGCUCACAUCGACGGGGAGGUUUGGCACCUCGAUGUCGGCUCGUCACAUCCUGGGGCUGGAGAAGGUCCCAAGGGUUGGGCUGUUCGCCCAUUAAAGUGGCACGCGAGCUGGGUUCAGAACGUCGUAAGACAGUUCGGUCCCUAUCUGUGGUGGGCGCGGGAGCAUUGAGGGGAUCGGUCCCCAGUACGAGAGGACCGGGACGGACGGACCGCUGGUGUGCCGGUUGUGCCGCCAGGUGCAGCGCCGGGUAGCUAUGUCCGGGACGGAUAAGCGCUGAAAGCAUCUAAGUGCGAAGCCGGCCCCGAGAUGAGUGCUCCGUGGCAGCGAUGCC
Molecule: ribosomal RNA, 1204 nt
Filed under: metagenome
Description: bacterial LSU rRNA
Rfam family: Bacterial large subunit ribosomal RNA
Source: RNAcentral